AAAAUACGGGAGGCAGCAGUGGGGAAUAUUGCACAAUGGGCGCAAGCCUGAUGCAGCGACGCCGCGUGAGGGAUGACGGCCUUCGGGUUGUAAACCUCUGUUAGCAUCGAAGAAGCGAAAGUGACGGUAGGUGCAGAGAAAGCGCCGGCUAACUACGUGCCAGCAGCCGCGGUAAUUUU
RNAcentral lists this ribosomal RNA (179 nucleotides) under uncultured bacterium. RNAcentral's name for it is "partial 16S ribosomal RNA". It matches the Rfam family "Bacterial small subunit ribosomal RNA", at positions 333 to 527 of the family's 1533-position model. The record is from RNAcentral.